UACGUAGGGGGCUAGCGUUGUCCGGAAUCAUUGGGCGUAAAGCGCGUGUAGGCGGCCCGAUAAGUCCGCUGUGAAAGUCGGGGGCUCAACCCUCGAAAGCCGGUGGAUACUGUCAGGCUAGAGUACGGAAGAGGCGAGUGGAAUUCCUGGUGUAGCGGUGAAAUGCGCAGAUAUCAGGAGGAACACCCAUUGCGAAGGCAGCGCGCUGGGACGUUACUGACGCUGAGACGCGAAAGCGUGGGGAGCAAACAGG
This 253-nucleotide ribosomal RNA is filed under the name uncultured bacterium. RNAcentral describes it as "partial 16S ribosomal RNA". It matches the Rfam family "Bacterial small subunit ribosomal RNA", at positions 524 to 776 of the family's 1533-position model. The record is from RNAcentral.